Molecule: ribosomal RNA, 548 nt
Filed under: Escherichia coli
Lineage: Bacteria; Pseudomonadati; Pseudomonadota; Gammaproteobacteria; Enterobacterales; Enterobacteriaceae
Description: bacterial SSU rRNA
Rfam family: Bacterial small subunit ribosomal RNA
Source: RNAcentral
ACAUCCACGGAAGUUUUCAGAGAUGAGAAUGUGCCUUCGGGAACCGUGAGACAGGUGCUGCAUGGCUGUCGUCAGCUCGUGUUGUGAAAUGUUGGGUUAAGUCCCGCAACGAGCGCAACCCUUAUCCUUUGUUGCCAGCGGUCCGGCCGGGAACUCAAAGGAGACUGCCAGUGAUAAACUGGAGGAAGGUGGGGAUGACGUCAAGUCAUCAUGGCCCUUACGACCAGGGCUACACACGUGCUACAAUGGCGCAUACAAAGAGAAGCGACCUCGCGAGAGCAAGCGGACCUCAUAAAGUGCGUCGUAGUCCGGAUUGGAGUCUGCAACUCGACUCCAUGAAGUCGGAAUCGCUAGUAAUCGUGGAUCAGAAUGCCACGGUGAAUACGUUCCCGGGCCUUGUACACACCGCCCGUCACACCAUGGGAGUGGGUUGCAAAAGAAGUAGGUAGCUUAACCUUCGGGAGGGCGCUUACCACUUUGUGAUUCAUGACUGGGGUGAAGUCGUAACAAGGUAACCGUAGGGGAACCUGCGGUUGGAUCACCUCCUU